UACUAGAGUAGCACUCGCAUAUCAAUAAGCGGAGGAAAAGAAACUAACAAGGAUUCCCCUAGUAACGGCGAGUGAAGCGGGAAGAGCUCAAAUUUGAAAUCAUAAAGGGUUUCCCUUUACGAAUUGUAGUUUAAAGAAGUGUUUUCUGUUGAGGUUUUGGUAAAAGUUCUUUGGAAUAGGACAUCAUAGAGGGUGAGAAUCCCGUAUUUGACCUUUACUUUCAACUUUGUGGUACACUUUCAAAGAGUCGGAUUGUUUGGGAAUGCAGUCCAAAAUGGGUGGUAAACUUCAUCUAAAGCUAAAUAUUGGCGAGAGACCGAUAGCGAACAAGUACCGUGAGGGAAAGAUGAAAAGAACUUUGAAAAGAGAGUUAAACAGUACGUGAAAUUGUCAAAAGGGGAGCGUUUGACACCAGUGUUGUUUUUCUGAAAAUCAAUUAAAGAACUGUUUAUGCUAAGUUGUUUAGACUUUAUCAGCUAACUGUUUAGUUUUGAGCUUUUCUUUAAUGCACUUUUCAGUUAACAAGUCAACAUCAAUUUCUUUUGCUGUAAAAAAGCUUGAGGAAGGUGGCUUGAGAUUCGUCUUAAGUGUUUAUAGCCUCUUGCCUAUGCAGUCGGAGAGAUUGAGGUCUGCAGCGUAGAUCCUUCGGGGCUAAAUGCAUUUGUGCUAAGUUAUAGCAUUUUAUAGACAACUUGUUGACUAUGAUUUGUCUUGUAGCUUACUCGCUUAUGUUAUUUUACCUACGCUUAGGAUGUUGAGUCAUCACACAUCUCU
This 774-nucleotide ribosomal RNA is filed under the name uncultured Neocallimastigales. RNAcentral describes it as "partial large subunit ribosomal RNA". It matches the Rfam family "Eukaryotic large subunit ribosomal RNA", at positions 20 to 614 of the family's 3401-position model. The record is from RNAcentral. Lineage: Eukaryota; Fungi; Neocallimastigomycota; Neocallimastigomycetes; Neocallimastigales.